AGUGAACGCUGGCGGUAGGCCUAACACAUGCAAGUCGAACGGCAGCACAGUAAGAGCUUGCUCUUACGGGUGGCGAGUGGCGGACGGGUGAGGAAUACAUCGGAAUCUACUUUUUCGUGGGGGAUAACGUAGGGAAACUUACGCUAAUACCGCAUACGACCUACGUGUGAAAGCAGGGGAUCUUCGGACCUUGCGCGAUUGAAUGAGCCGAUGUCGGAUUAGCUAGUUGGCGGGGUAAAGGCCCACCGAGGCGACGCUCCGUAGCUGGUCUGAGAGGAUGAUCAGCCACACUGGAACUGAGACACGGUCCAGACUCCUACGGGAGGCAGCAGUGGGGAAUAUUGGACAAUGGGCGCAAGCCUGAUCCAGCCAUACCGCGUGGGUGAAGAAGGCCUUCGGGUUGUAAAGCCCUUUUGUUGGGAAAGAAAAGCAGCAGGUUAAUACCCCGCUGUUCUGACGGUACCCAAAGAAUAAGCACCGGCUAACUUCGUG
This 492-nucleotide ribosomal RNA is filed under the name uncultured bacterium. RNAcentral describes it as "partial 16S ribosomal RNA". It matches the Rfam family "Bacterial small subunit ribosomal RNA", at positions 29 to 507 of the family's 1533-position model. The record is from RNAcentral.